RNAcentral lists this long non-coding RNA (710 nucleotides) under Nicotiana benthamiana. RNAcentral's name for it is "long non-coding RNA (NBEN_LNC018664)". The record is from RNAcentral. Lineage: Eukaryota; Viridiplantae; Streptophyta; Magnoliopsida; Solanales; Solanaceae.
GAGAAGACCCAGAUUCACCCUCAUCGCUUGAAGAUCCUUCUUGGAAGGUAGCAUUCCUGUCUCUUAAUGAUAACCGGUCAAUACUAAGGGAGCUUUCACUUGUUUGGCUAUGAUACAUCCGCUGCUCCCUUGUAUAAUUUAAGCAACAUUGGGUAGUAGGUAAUGAAAAAAGAUGUUGCAUGUUGUACCUUCAAAUUUCAAAGGUGUCGCCUAUUGUACCUUCAAACAUUACUAUGACGGAUUCGCUGGGAAUUAGGGUUUGUUCUUGAACAAAGACGACGAAGUUUAGGGCUGAGCAAAUUGAUUUUCUAUUAAUAUAUUUCAAUGUAUUUUCAUGUAUUUCAUUGUAUUUAUUGUAUUCUUUUCAUUGCAAGCAACGCCUCUCAUGUUCCGAGUCACUGCUUCCAUCACUACUAGAAUCCCGGAAAUAAUCACUAUCACUUUCCUCACCUGGUCGCCUACUGUGUAAGAAAAUGCAAGUCAAUAUUAUAGUUUCUUAAAGCUACUCAUACAAAAUCUAAACAACUUCAAUUCAAGAUUCAGACACUUUCAGGAAAGAGGAGGAGGUGAGGGGGUAGUAAAGAGACACAAUGAUGCACAUUUACAACAUAAACACACUCAUAAUACAUAAUUUCAAGCUAUAGCCCACACGUCCACCCAUGUACAAGCUAAGGAGCGCAUUGAAAUAAAAAUGUCUCAGGAAAGAGCAG